GCCGGGCGCGGUUGCGCGCGCCUGUAGUCCCAGCUACUCGGGAGGCUGAGGCAGGAGGAUCGCUUGAGCCCAGGAGUUCUGGGCUGUAGUGCGCUAUGCCGAUCGGGUGUCCGCACUAAGUUCGGCAUCGAUAUGGUGACCUCCCGGGAGCGGGGGACCACCAGGUUGCCUAAGGAGGGGUGAACCGGCCCAGGUCGGAAACGGAGCAGGUCAAAACUCCCGAGCUGGUCAGUAGUGGGAUCGCGCCUGUGAAUAGCCACUGCACUCCAGCCUGGGCAACACAGCGAGACCCCGUCUCUA
Molecule: unclassified non-coding RNA, 300 nt
Organism: Delphinapterus leucas (beluga whale)
Lineage: Eukaryota; Metazoa; Chordata; Mammalia; Artiodactyla; Monodontidae
Rfam family: Metazoan signal recognition particle RNA
About the family: The signal recognition particle (SRP) is a universally conserved ribonucleoprotein. It is involved in the co-translational targeting of proteins to membranes. The eukaryotic SRP consists of a 300-nucleotide 7S RNA and six proteins: SRPs 72, 68, 54, 19, 14, and 9.
Source: Ensembl